UCCAUCUGAGGUCUACACGGUCCCAACAGGUGGAGCCUCAGUUUCCUGGCGGCCUUGGUCCUUGACCUCCAAGCUCCCUCGCACCUGAGGAUCUCCCGGGGCUUCCGAGCCGGGCGGAGGCGUAUGUUAGCCACAGGCUCCCGGGCAGAAAAAAGGGGUUCUGGACUCCUCCCCGCUUCCCUCCCCUCCCUCCUUCUCUCCUUCCCUCGUUUCCCAGGCCGGGACUGCUCCUGCCCCUGCUCCUGCCCCUGCUUCUACCCCUACUUCUACCCCUGCCCCUGCUCCUGCUCCUGCUCUUGCUCCCCACUUCCUGGCCUCCACCAAAUCGGAGGCAGGCUGCGAUCACCCGUUCGAGGCCCCUCCUCGGCCCCCCCCAAAGCCGGGCAGAGGGAGGGGAGGGGGCGGGGGCGCUGAGCCGGCUGCUGACGUAGGGAUUUAAAGGGCCUGGCACCGGGAGCUGGGAGUUGGGGAGCCCCGCGAAGAGCGCAGGAAGGCCUGGAGCCGGGGGAGUGGCGGAGCGGGAUCCGAAGCGGGAAGCCCACCCCUCAGCCCCGGUCUUUCUUUACCUGGAAACUGAGUCUCAGAACAAGAAAUUCAACAUAAUAGGAAAUACAAGAAACUCAUUUUGAUCCCAGGCCUGACGCCUAAGUACCCUUCCCCUCCUGCAAAUCCAGUUUCCUCUUUUGGGAAGCAGACUGGAAAACCUGGAAAGAUGGGAGUAUGGGAAGAGACAGUCAGACAAACAGAAGAAGAGACAGAUGGUCCAGUGGCUGCUAAGCAAGGCAGAUGGCCCUAGCAGGAAGAGGAAAGAAGCAGACAGACUGAUAGAUCGCCAGCCUCUCUAGGGGAGGGAAGAAAGCUGGAAUGGGAAAGAAGCGCAGAUCACAGGACUGAGAGCUGGAAGAGAAUCUGCUUCAAGUCUUCUUUUCACAUUCUAAGAAAAGGGUGACCCCGACAGGGAAACGAAUUGCAAGGAGAUCAAGACCAUAAGUUUGGAACUAGAAGAGAUCCCAAAGGCCAUGUCAUCCAACCCUCUCAUUGUACAAGGAGCUGAGGCCGGGAGAAGUCAUAUACAUUUCCCAAAGUCACCCAGAUUCUAAAAUUUGGGCAGAGCUGUGAUUUGAACCUAGAUUUCUAGUGCACUAGGGGAAAACAGAGCAAAGAAGCAAACAGAAAAGGCCAGUUAGGAAUGUUGUCAAGGAUAGAAGAGACACUAUGGAUGUCAGAGGAGAUGUCAGGAAUUAACUUGAAAACAACCAAUUAAAAUCCAGUCGAAUUGGUCAAGCCAGUGCAGAUCACUAAAGAAACUGAAUAUUCCCAAUUUUUUAUUUUUUAUUUUUAAAUUUGCUGCUUUGCCUUCAGUGAUUUCAGAAUACAACAAACUAAUCGAUUUACCUUAGAGGACAAUUCUUCAUGUCGUAUCCCAGGCAAAACAACAAGAACCUGACCUUGAUUUUUAAAGAAUCCUUCAUAGUCUUAGCAUUGGCCAUUUUUUCUGGUAGCCAUGACCUUGUAGGUCCACCAUUACCCUUUGAGAGAUCCCAACUCCUAUCCUUGCCUUUGCCCGGGCUGUAUCUCAUGUACUUUUCUCAACCCUCCCCUUCAAGACUUCUAAGCUCUCUUUAUGGUUCAGCUCAAGCAUCACUUCUCUCUGGAGCUACCCAGAUGGCUUAGCAAGGUACUUGACACUUUGUUGCAAUUGUUCAGUUGUGAUCAAGUCUUCCUAAUCCCAUCUAGGGUUUUCUUGGCAAAAAUCACUAGAAUGGUUUGCCAUUUCCUCCUCCAGCUCAUUUGACAGAUGAGGAAACUGAUGCAAACUGGAUUAAGUGACUUAUUCAAGGUCACACAACUAAUAUCUGAGAUUAGAUUUGAACUCUUCCUUGGGCCUUCCUGACUCCAGACCCAAAGCUAGUCUAUCCCCUGGUACAACAAAUGCCUGAGACAAAAUAAAUGACUAAUAAAACUCA
Long non-coding RNA from Antechinus flavipes (yellow-footed antechinus), 1967 nucleotides. RefSeq lists it as uncharacterized. The record is from RefSeq and is a predicted model, not a curated record. The transcript has 2 exons. NCBI's taxonomy places the organism in Eukaryota, Metazoa, Chordata, Mammalia, Dasyuromorphia, Dasyuridae.